CUUCUGAUGAUGAUACCUUUGUCCAGUUCUGCUGCUGAAGGGACAGCGAUGACAACUUACAAAGCUGAAGACG
This is a non-coding RNA of Alligator sinensis (Chinese alligator), 73 nucleotides long. NCBI's taxonomy places the organism in Eukaryota, Metazoa, Chordata, Crocodylia, Alligatoridae. The record is from Rfam.